This 446-nucleotide ribosomal RNA is filed under the name uncultured organism. Its description in RNAcentral is "partial 16S ribosomal RNA". It matches the Rfam family "Bacterial small subunit ribosomal RNA", at positions 335 to 797 of the family's 1533-position model. The record is from RNAcentral.
ACUCCUACGGGAGGCAGCAGUGGGGAAUAUUGGACAAUGGGCGCAAGCCUGAUCCAGCCAUGCCGCGUGAGUGAUGAAGGCCCUAGGGUUGUAAAGCUCUUUCACCGGUGAAGAUAACGACGGUAACCGGAGAAGAAGCCCCGGCUAACUUCGUGCCAGCAGCCGCGGUAAUACGAAGGGGGCUAGCGUUGUUCGGAUUUACUGGGCGUAAAGCGCACGUAGGCGGACUAUUAAGUCAGGGGUGAAAUCCCGGGGCUCAACCCCGGAACUGCCUUUGAUACUGGUAGUCUUGAGUUCGAGAGAGGUGAGUGGAAUUCCGAGUGUAGAGGUGAAAUUCGUAGAUAUUCGGAGGAACACCAGUGGCGAAGGCGGCUCACUGGCUCGAUACUGACGCUGAGGUGCGAAAGCGUGGGGAGCAAACAGGAUUAGAAACCCGGGUAGUCCCA